GUUAAGAAAGUUGAAGUGGUUAACAUAGAGCCUAAAACUCUUGGGAUAGAGGUUCGACUCCUCUUCUUAACU
RNAcentral lists this transfer RNA (72 nucleotides) under Amphiura sinicola. RNAcentral describes it as "tRNA-Leu". It matches the Rfam family "tRNA". From Rfam's summary of the family: Transfer RNA (tRNA) molecules are approximately 80 nucleotides in length. Their secondary structure includes four short double-helical elements and three loops (D, anti-codon, and T loops). The record is from RNAcentral. Lineage: Eukaryota; Metazoa; Echinodermata; Ophiuroidea; Amphilepidida; Amphiuridae.